RNAcentral lists this ribosomal RNA (444 nucleotides) under uncultured bacterium. Its description in RNAcentral is "bacterial SSU rRNA". It matches the Rfam family "Bacterial small subunit ribosomal RNA", at positions 29 to 506 of the family's 1533-position model. The record is from RNAcentral.
AUGAACGCUAGCGGUGUACCUAACACAUGCAAGUCGAACGGUCGCCUUGUGCGACAGUGGCAAACGGGUGAGUAAUGCGUUGGCACCUACCCCCUGACGGGGAAUAACUUUGAGAAAUCGAAGCUAAUACCCCAUAGUCUCCGAUGUAUGUCGGAGUAAAGAAGUAAUUCGUCAAGGGAGGGGCCUGCGUCCUAUCAGCUUGUUGGUAAGGUAAUGGCUUACCAAGGCUAUGACGGGUAGCUGGUCUGAGAGGAUGGUCAGCCACAUUAGGACUGAGACACGGCCUAGACUCCUACGGGAGGCAGCAGUUAGGAAUCUUGCGCAAUGGGCUCACUGCCUGACGCAGUGACACCGCGUGCCGGAUGAAGGCCUUCGGGUCGUAAACGGCUUUUUUGUCGGACGAAUUUUGACGGUACGGCAAGAAUAAGCUCCGGCUAACUACGU